Long non-coding RNA from Hypanus sabinus (Atlantic stingray), 4591 nucleotides. RefSeq lists it as uncharacterized. NCBI's taxonomy places the organism in Eukaryota, Metazoa, Chordata, Chondrichthyes, Myliobatiformes, Dasyatidae. The transcript has 2 exons. The record is from RefSeq and is a predicted model, not a curated record.
UUCACCAAUUUAAAAGUAAUUACCUACUUACCAGAUACCACCAAUGAGAAGUCUCACAAUAAUUUCUGCAAAGGGUCAGGCGUAAUAUUUGGGGAUCUGAAGCAACUCUUGCCCUGGUGUCUGCUGAUCUGUGGUACCGCAGACAUACAGCUCAGGAUUCCACUGAACUAGAGGAGGACCGUGUAGCUUAACAAACAUAAGCACUGAUACAUGAUCUUUGAGAACUCUUGUGCGUGUUCUUGUUAUUAUCAAGUUCAUGUGACUGAAUCCCCUCUCACACUCAGCGGAACUAAUAGGAAUAAUGUGAACAACUCAGUAAUGGGCUUAAAUCUUGGUGGAUGUGGCAUCCACAAUCCUCCACAUAAUCUCUGAAGGCAUUUAUUACAGAGGAAGAAGACUUAUACCUCUUACAGAGAGAUGAUAUUGCAGCUUCUCCAUAAUUAGGCAGUGUAUCAGCAGGCCUGCUAUCUUUAUCAAGGACACACAUUUCAUUUAGCAGGGAUUUGUACAUACUUUGAGGUUUAGAAGUUUGAGAACCUUUCAAGGAUGUUGCUGUGAACAUACAGUGCUGGAAACUGUUUAUAAGACUACUAAGAAACUGUAGAUGAUUAAUGGAGACAAUUUUGUUGUUGCUUGUUAAGGUAAUAUCUCCAAACUUCUCAUUUUCAACUGCCUCUUGAGCUUCUAGAGUUUUUGUACCAGGUUCCUCUUUCAGACCAUGCAGUGAUCUUAUACUCCGUUGGAUCAGUUUGUCAGCAUAAACAAUCGUAGUAGUGCGUUUCUGUAAACUCUCUGACAGUAAACCAAAUUCAUGCAACGUGUCUUACAUUAGAGCUAGGUCCAAUUGAAACUGUUCUGAAGAGAGUCUUUUCAACAGACCUUCAUAGGUUUUGCUGUCACUCUCAGAUCUUGUUUCAUCCUUCAUUGCUUUUUCUAAAUGAAAACACAGUGCUUUAUAAUUUUGCCACACUGCUGAAACUGUUCAAAACGAGCUAACUACCCACCUGGUGCCCAGAACAUGGUGUAUUUUGCAAAUUUAUUGUUCUAGUUGAGAGGCACAUUCAGAGAAUUCCUUUUGAUUCAGAGGUGAUCUACUGUAAACAGAAUACAAUUUGUCUAUAAAUGAUUGAAAAUGAUUUAUCCCAUGAACUUCUCUCACCAAAUCACCUAAUGCAGGUUCUAAUUGGUGAUUAAGACAGUGCCAAAUUAUCAUAUCAGGAUAAUGUUCCUUGAGAAUUGUAGCAACACCAGAGUUGACACCAAGCAUUAUGCUUGCCCCAUCACUGGCAAAUGCUACAAGGUUCUGUUUCAAGUAAGAGCCAUCAAACCCACAGUUAUUGAGACAGUUCAAUAGAUGUCUAGUAAUAGUUUCAUCUUUCUGAUCAGGCAGUUCAAUUAGAUCUAAAAACAUAAAAGGGGGAUCACCUUCCUUAUCACUCACAUAUCAAAUGAAAUAUUAGGGCGAUCUUAAUGCUCAGGCUUGUUGGUUCAUCAAUGGGUACAGAAAGUUUGCCAUUUAUCUGCUUGAUAUGCUGGCAAAUUUUCUUUUUCAUAUUAAUGGCUGUGUGAUCAAUUAUCUCUCCCAGCAGUUCAAUUCCAAUGUCAAUACCAUUAAUUUUUUGAAGUUCCAAUAAGCCAAAGUGACCAGUGUUUGGUCUGUCAUUCUGAGCUAAGUAAUAUGUAGAGAUGAAAAAUUGAACAAGUUGCCUUUAGAUGCGAAGCAUUCAUGGUGUCUCAUAAUUUUCCAAGAGCAUCUUCACUAGCUGUAUUUUCAACACUUAGAGCAGCAGUACGAGCUCUUGAUAGUUUGUGAUCAACAAUUUUUUUUUCUGAAAGACUUCAAAAGUGUACUUCGAUAAGCUCCAUAAUAGGAUACUUAGUACAUCUGCCAUUCAUUUGACAGCCUCAAACCCUUAGAAGUGAAGUGUCAGAUUGCUUUUGUUCACAGUUGCUCAUACUUUACACCCAAGUUUAUCAUCCUUGAAGUCUAACCAGGGAUUGGUUUCCUUUUUCCACAUUUCUUCAGUCCAAACAUCUGAACAGGGAUACAAGCCUGAAUUUGAAGGACCAUUACUUUCAGAGCUGCAUUUGGACCCGGUUAGAAAAUUUCAACUGGUGAUGAAAUUUUAAGGGAAUUGGGGGACAUAAGAAAUGAUUCUCUGAUUCUGGUAAAUAGCGGGUUAAAAUUAAGUACCAGCUUGUGUAUGCUCUGUUCUGUGAAAAGUUACAGGGACUGUCCUUGAUUGAAAAUGCUGCUUUCAGUUUGUUUAGGUUAACAACUCACAGCUGUCCCUUUGAGAGUGAUCUGUGGGCUGUGUUCACAUAGGCUGCAUAACAUCAUUCCCCACGAUGUCACAUCACUGAUCUAUGUUCCCACCUUUAUCUAUUCAAAUUUUACUGAUAAGGCAAGAUUUUGUCUGUAAUUAAAACCCAUGAUUUAGUGUACUCUCUUAUCUAAUUAAUUAAGUUUUGCUGUAACUGACUUGGUGGGAAUAUUCAUGAAACUGACUGUUCUUUGUUUCACCAGUUCUAUAAAUUGCCACGUUUCUGAGCGUUAGACAGAAAACGCGUUGCAAACUGCCGGGGAGAGAGAGAGAGAGAGAGACAGAGAUUCUGUCUUUCUGAUGAUCAGCUCCGAGUCCUUUCUCGCCGGCUGAGCUGGAACAAAUUAAUGGGUGAAGGGUUAAAUAAAGGCUUGAGUGUGGUGUAGUUAUUUGGUCCGGCAAAUUUAAAUUUACACUAGAAGCAGGCGAAACACAGCUUUUGGCACCUUUACUUUUAUCAGUCUCUUGUACGUUAUUCUUGUUACACUCCUCAGCUUGUUUACAAAAGAAAGAGGUUAACAUCGUUUGCUUAGAAGCCAUAGGGUUGUUAAUGAGAAAAAAUUACUUUGUUUUGGCGAGUAGUCCAUGGACCACCACAAAUGUAGCCUUACUAAUAUGACUGAGGCAGAGCAGACCGCGUUUAGUAGUGUUCCUAAGCAGGUAUAAAAAUAAGAGAAAACAAAUAAGCUUUUUACACUUUUAGUCACCUAAAUUGGAACAAAGUAAUCAAGUAUGAAAAAAGAACGUCUAUUGCUAAAGCCACAAAUAUUGCUGAAUAUUAGUAUGAAAAGCGGUCGGUUGGCAACUCUGCCUCGUACCGUUUCUCUCGCAGAAAUAGUUAGACAGGAGGAGUACCUGAGAGGGUCGAUACUCACAAUAUCCUCACACAUUGGGUGUUACAUGGUUAGACCAAUACAGAUCCUGUUUAGUCUUUAACUAUAUCAAAAGUUAAAGAAGCUUGAAUCUUUACAUAAAUUAUUAUUGUAUCUAUAUGAAUAAAAAAUGUUAUUUUGGAAGUGACAAAUGUUAACAGGGCAGGACAGCAACCAUUUGGGAGGUUUGGAAAUGCAUUUCAUCUUGUUCAUUGCCUCACUAAAUUACUCUUUUUCCUAUCAACACAAAAGAGGAAAAGAGCCUCUUUCCAAUCAGCUGUAGUUGGUGAAGCUAGGCCAAGGGGUUGAUCCGCUAUUAAUGACAGCUGAAAUGAUGUAAAACUACAAGUGUUUGUAGCUUAUAGCCUAGAAUCUUUUUUUCCGUUUGGCUUGUAAAAAAAAGAAAAAUUCACUUUAUCCAGGUGUAGAAGAGGAUUUUGGAUGAUUACCUUGAAUAUUUAACCAAAGUCAGGUCGAAGAUAAGCGAGCAGUGAUUUUUUUUCCACUAUUUUUGACUUUUAACCUUUGGUUUCAAUGUUCAUUCCUUGCUUAAUAUAGCUCCUACCUGGAAUCCAAUGGUACCCAUUGGCAAGAGCGGAAAAAUGCUCACACUUGUGAACAGUAAUCUCUGGGCUGGAAAGAGACCGAGGAUCUGUGAAAUUGCGGGAGGCUACAGCAGGGUAUACUGGGAAAGCAACGGGUCAAAUGAGGAUGAGUUUCACAAAUAUCUAAAUAAAAAACAGUCACAGUUCAAGGAUUUCACCAAAAACAAUCAAAUAUCCUAUCCUAAUGUUAUUAGUGGUAUUUUCCCCACCAGCCAUCAACCCCUCUCCGCAACCUCCGCUUCCGUAAAAUUCCCUCUAUUUAAUAUGUGGCCGCUGUUAAAUUCCCUGCUUGUUUAUUUUGACUUUUUUUUUACAGAGGUGACGGAGUGGUGCUCCAGUGAGCUCUGGCAGCUCUGCACCCCUGUCACUUCGGAUAAUCCUUAGGAGCGGAUUUUGAGAUAUCCUAUGGGACCACUUGAAGAUGAUAUUCCUGUGACAGGUCGUUUUUGGUGAUAAUUCCUAUGUGGAUUUGGAAAGACUUGACGAACAAGAUCUUCGGUGACUAUUACCUUGUUUACCUACGUGGGAACUGCAGACUACUUCGUACUUACCUUCUCUCUUCAUUACAACAUGGAUUACAAAUACCUCUCUCCCAUCAUUUAUUACCUGAAUGACGGAACUUACCUACUUUACCAUUUCAAGACUCUGAGCCUUGUUCUCCCAAGCUCAAUAGUUUGGGAGCCAUAUUUAUACACAUAUAUACACAUAGUGCUGUUAACUUUUGUUUAUCUUGGUUAAGUUACUAUUUUAUAAGCGGUUUCUAAUAAAGAUAGUGUUUUUAACAUUAAAA